RNAcentral lists this ribosomal RNA (466 nucleotides) under uncultured bacterium. Its description in RNAcentral is "bacterial SSU rRNA". It matches the Rfam family "Bacterial small subunit ribosomal RNA", at positions 392 to 848 of the family's 1533-position model. The record is from RNAcentral.
CAACGCCGCGUGUGUGAUGAAGGUCUUCGGAUCGUAAAGCACUGUCGCGAGGGACGAAUAAGGGACGGGCGAACAGUCCGUCACGAUGACGGUACCUCGAGAGGAAGCACCGGCUAACUCUGUGCCAGCAGCCGCGGUAAUACAGAGGGUGCGAGCGUUGUUCGGAAUUAUUGGGCGUAAAGCGCGUGUAGGCGGCCUAGCAAGUCGGAUGUGAAAGCCCUCGGCUUAACCGAGGAAGUGCGUUCGAAACUACUGGGCUUGAGUACCGGAGAGGGUGGCGGAAUUCCCGGUGUAGAGGUGAAAUUCGUAGAUAUCGGGAGGAACACCAGUGGCGAAGGCGGCCACCUGGACGGAUACUGACGCUGAGACGCGAAAGCGUGGGUAGCAAACAGGAUUAGAUACCCUGGUAGUCCACGCUGUAAACGAUGAGCGCUAGGUGUUGCGGGUGUUGACCCCUGCAGUGCCG